GCCGCGCGUCGCCGGAAGCGGGUGUGAGGGCGGAGCCAUGGACGUCACCGUUAACGUCAGUAGUUGCCCCGCCCUUGCCCUCGCCGCCCUACGGUGUUUAAAAGGCUCCAAUGUACCCUGAGGUAUUUAUCAGCGCUCCCCAGUGCGGGGCGAACGCGGCUGGAGCAUGGUCUCUGGAAUCAGACCACUUAGAUUAAAGUCCUAGCUUGACCACUUGCCAUCUGAAUGCUCUCCAGCAAGUUAUUUCACUUCUCUGGAUCUCAGUUUCCUCAUCUGUAAUAAUAGUAUUUACCUCAGAGGAUGACUAUGAAGAACUAAUGAGUUAACAUUUGCAAACAAUUCAUCCAACCUCCUCUACCUGCCCUGUGCCCUGGAAGCAGACCUCUAUGGACUCCACCAACAGGCCCCCAUGCCCUCUGGCUUCCAGGAUAUAUUUAAGGGGAGUGUCCGGAGUGAACUGAAGCCAUGCAGGAGUGCCAUGCAGAUGUGGCCAGCUGGUCAGAAAGAAAGAUGAAGAGAGAACCGGUGAGCAAAGGCCCCCUCCAGGCCAAACAUUUGCCCAGCAACAUGUGAGCAGGUGGAAACUGAAUCGUACUAUUAAUUUGCGUCAAGACAGCAUUUUGAAUUCCUGGCAGAAAUGGAUGGGAAAGGGCUCAGAAGUUGUUUGGAGCAAACCAUAUUUUACUUCCUUGAGCAAUUUAGUUCUCUGGGCGGCAUAGGGCAGGCCAGCCAAUAGCCAGCAAGAACUCGGAAUUGCACUUUCAGCAUUGUGUAGUGUGAGGUGUGUGAGUAAGAAGGUACUCACUUUGGAGGUGCC
This is an RNA transcript of Lynx canadensis (Canada lynx), 817 nucleotides long. RefSeq lists it as uncharacterized. The record is from RefSeq and is a predicted model, not a curated record. The transcript has 4 exons. NCBI's taxonomy places the organism in Eukaryota, Metazoa, Chordata, Mammalia, Carnivora, Felidae.